This 467-nucleotide ribosomal RNA is filed under the name uncultured bacterium. RNAcentral's name for it is "partial 16S ribosomal RNA". It matches the Rfam family "Bacterial small subunit ribosomal RNA", at positions 29 to 507 of the family's 1533-position model. The record is from RNAcentral.
ACGAACGCUGGCGGCGUGCUUAACCCAUGCAAGUCGAACGGAAAGGCCCUGCUUUUGUGGGGUGCUCGAGUGGCGAACGGGUGAGUAACACGUGAGUAACCUGCCCUUGACUUUGGGAUAACUUCAGGAAACUGGGGCUAAUACCGGAUAGGAGCUCCUGCUGCAUGGUGGGGGUUGGAAAGUUUCGGCGGUUGGGGAUGGACUCGCGGCUUAUCAGCUUGUUGGUGGGGUAGUGGCUUACCAAGGCUUUGACGGGUAGCCGGCCUGAGAGGGUGACCGGCCACAUUGGGACUGAGAUACGGCCCAGACUCCUACGGGAGGCAGCAGUGGGGAAUAUUGCACAAUGGGCGGAAGCCUGAUGCAGCAACGCCGCGUGCGGGAUGACGGCCUUCGGGUUGUAAACCGCUUUGGCCUGUGACGAAGCGUGAGUGACGGUAAUGGGUAAAGAAGCACCGGCUAACUACGUG